GACGAACGCUGGCGGCGUGCCUAAUACAUGCAAGUCGAACGAGAGCGCCCGGUGCUUGCCCUGGUCAAUCUAGUGGCGAACGGGUGAGUAACACGUGGGUAACCUGCCCAUCAGAGGGGGAUAACAUCCGGAAACGGAUGCUAAAACCGCAUAGGUCUUCGAGCCGCAUGGCUUGAAGAGGAAAAGAGGCGCAAGCUUCUGCUGAUGGAUGGACCCGCGGUGCAUUAGCUAGUUGGUGAGGUAACGGCUCACCAAGGCCGUGAUGCAUAGCCGACCUGAGAGGGUGAUCGGCCACAUUGGAACUGAGACACGGCCCAAACUCCUACGGGAGGCAGCAGUAGGGAAUCUUCCGCAAUGGACGCAAGUCUGACGGAGCAACGCCGCGUGAGUGAAGAAGGUUUUCGGAUCGUAAAACUCUGUUGUUAGAGAAGAACAAGUGCUAGAGUAACUGUUAGCGCCUUGACGGUAUCUAACCAGAAAGCCACGGCUAACUACGUG
This 498-nucleotide ribosomal RNA is filed under the name uncultured bacterium. RNAcentral describes it as "partial 16S ribosomal RNA". It matches the Rfam family "Bacterial small subunit ribosomal RNA", at positions 28 to 507 of the family's 1533-position model. The record is from RNAcentral.